AUGAAGUUUAAUUCCACAAAAGAGGCUUGGAUCUUUUGGACAUGUUAUGGAGGUCAUACUGGUUUUGAUGCAAGGGUAAAUUAUGAAAACAAGAGCAAACUUGAUGGAGUAAUCACUUCUACAAGAUAUGUCUGUUCUAAUGAAGGCUACAGAAGAAAAGACAAAAGGGAUAAUGAUACAAAGCGUCCUCGUGCAGAAACAAGGACCGGCUGCAAUGUUCGAAUGGGAAUCACUAUAGAUCGAGAAGCAAAAUAUUAUGAGGUGCAUGAGUUAGUUGUUGAACACAACCAUUGUUUGAAAUUACUUGGGACAAGCCACUUGAUGCCGUCACAACGGAAGAUUUCGGCCUUGCAAGCAUUUGAAAUUGAAACAGCGGAUGAUUCGGGAAUUGUACCUAAAAGAGCCCAUGAGUUAGCAAGUCGAAAAGUUGGUGGGCCACUGAACCUUGGCUACACAUGUCGUGAUCGCAAGAACCACUUGCGAACCAGGCGUCAAAGGGACUUGAUGUAUGGUGAAGCUGGAAGUAUGCUUAAGUACUUUAGAGAUAAAAAUAAUGAGAAUCCUGCAUUUGAAUAUGAUAUGCAACUAGAUUGCGAUGAACAAAUAUCGAAUAUCUUUUGGGCUGAUGCAAAGAUGAUCAUUGAGUAUGCUCAUUUUGGUGAUGUUGUUACUUUCGAUACAACAUUUGGGACAAACAAAGAGUACAGACCCUUCGGUGUUAUUGUUGGAUUCAACCAUUUUAGAGAAACUGUCAUUUUUGGUGCUGCACUUUUAUAUGAUGAGACAUUUGAAUCAUUCAAAUGGUUGUUCAACACAAUCCUAUCAUUGCACUUACCUCAUAAAAAAAAGACGAUGAGGGACCAAAUGUACUUGCUGAUUUAG
Molecule: ribosomal RNA, 882 nt
Filed under: Triticum aestivum (bread wheat)
Lineage: Eukaryota; Viridiplantae; Streptophyta; Magnoliopsida; Poales; Poaceae
Description: partial small subunit ribosomal RNA
Source: RNAcentral